GACGAACGCUGGCGGCGUGCCUAAUACAUGCAAGUCGAACGCACUCUCGUUUAGAUUGAAGGAGCUUGCUCCUGAUUGAUAAACAUUUGAGUGAGUGGCGGACGGGUGAGUAACACGUGGGUAACCUGCCCUAAAGUGGGGGAUAACAUUUGGAAACAGGUGCUAAUACCGCAUAAAACCUAACACCGCAUGGUGUAGGGUUGAAAGAUGGUUUCGGCUAUCACUUUAGGAUGGACCCGCGGUGCAUUAGUUAGUUGGUGAGGUAAAGGCUCACCAAGACCGUGAUGCAUAGCCGACCUGAGAGGGUAAAUCGGCCACACUGGGACUGAGACACGGCCCAGACUCCUACGGGAGGCAGCAGUAGGGAAUCUUCCACAAUGGACGAAAGUCUGAUGGAGCAACGCCGCGUGAGUGAAGAAGGUUUUCGGAUCGUAAAACUCUGUUGUUGGAGAAGAAUGUAUCUGAUAGUAACUGAUCAGGUAGUGACGGUAUCCAACCAGAAAGCCACGG
RNAcentral lists this ribosomal RNA (510 nucleotides) under uncultured bacterium. RNAcentral's name for it is "bacterial SSU rRNA". It matches the Rfam family "Bacterial small subunit ribosomal RNA", at positions 28 to 496 of the family's 1533-position model. The record is from RNAcentral.